Non-coding RNA from Elaeis guineensis (African oil palm), 2901 nucleotides. The record is from RefSeq and is a predicted model, not a curated record. Lineage: Eukaryota; Viridiplantae; Streptophyta; Magnoliopsida; Arecales; Arecaceae.
AAAUAGAGUAAAUAUUACACACGCACAGAGAGAGAGAGAGAGAGAACGAGCGAGGUGGAGAACCCUAGCGUAUUUCUUCCGGCAAUCGAGGGUUCUUGUUUUCGAUUCUGAAGGCGAUGAUAUUACGAACUCCGCCACCGAGGAAUAGGAGGGCGGGUUCUGUCGCCGACCACGAGAGCCCCGUCUCCGACCGUCGCCUCGUGCUCUACGAUGACCCCGUCCCCGUCCCUUCCGUCGACCCGCCACCCGAUCAGAUGGUCUGUACCUACCACUGCCGUCAGAUGAUCUUUAUUUGCUCAACUUGUUCAUACUUCAUACAUUGACGAUAUAUGUAUGGUAACUCCUAUUUUCCUGUUUAUACUACAGAUCUUUAUUUGCUCAAAUUGAUAGGUUUGUUACAGAUCUUUAUUCGCUCAACUUGUUCAUACUUCAUACAUUUAUGAUAUAUGUAUGCUAACUCCUACUUAGGAGCAAGAAAUAAGUGGGAAAUUUUACACAAGGAUGGGGUCAUAUCCUUGUGCAAUCCUAGAAAGUAAUGCGGUUGGAUCCCUUUGCAGCACUACGGAGACCAAGGAUGAAGUCCAUGCUAAUGUUGUUCUGAGGAGAAGAAGGGACUGAAUGUAGGGCCAAGUGCUUUUGAGAUUUCCGAUGAGAUAUGGUUUUACCCUGCAAGCCUUUUCUCUCAAAAGAACUUUGGUGCAUAAGAUAUUCUAAUCCUCCAUUCUUCUUAGUCUACCAAAUUUGAAGAUGUCAUUACGUACUUGAUCAGCAACUUUUAAUUUGAAAGACAGCAGAUCAAUCUUCUUGUCAUCAUAGUCAUCUUAAAUAGGUUUCCUAGUGUUUAUUUUCUUCUUAAUGCUUUGUUAAAGUUAAUGCUUUGCCUGGGACAUUGGAAACUCAUGUGGCCUGUCUCUCCACAUGAAAAGCAAGGUGUUGAAAGCUGCUGCCAGCUGCAUGUAGAGCUUACUGAUGACCAUCUAGGCUGCAAAUGAUUUAAAGGCUGAUCUUGGUGUUUAUGUCAGAAACACAAUGUGGCAAGGUAACAUGCUGUUACUUGUUCAAACGAAGAAGUGUUAAGAGAUUGUAGAACUCUGAUUGGUGGUCCUUUGCACUCUUGUGAUGUUGCUUUAAUUCAUUGUCUCAUACAAAUUUAAUAGCUGGCUGAGAGAAACUGAUCAUACAACUUUGAACUUAUGUAACUAAGCGGAAAAUCUUCACCUUUUCUAGCAUAGUUUUUUUUUCUUCCUUGAGGUGUUUCCACUAUUCAAAAGCUUUUCUUUGAUAUGCUCUUUCACAGAAAAACAAAUUUCUCUUUUCAAACAUUGACUUCUAGGUGAAGUUAUUCUUUAUAUAAGUUUCCUAUCCAAGAAAAUGCUUGUUCUAAGAAGUUUGGGACAUCAACUGAUACCCCAUCAAUGUUGGAUUAGAGUGCUUGAACCAAUGUUUCUUCAAAACAUUUUCAUAUGGCUUCAUCAUGUAAAACAGUUUCAUAGAACAUGCUGUUAAAAUCGCCUUCCAUGUCUUCCGUGAAUUCCCGCUCUGGUGUAUUUGAGCAGGAAUUCAAGUUCACCAUGCUGCUGACAUGCUGACCUAGCAUUGGCAUAGUAUAUACCAUGUUUUACCGAUGCUAAGCACAUGCUGGCAUGUGUAGUUACAAAUUCAUUGACAUGCAGCCAUGUUAUCAGCUGAAAAGGUAACUCAAGUUAUGUGCCAAUCUGUCAACAGUAGGUAUGACUCCUCAAUGCAUGGUUUUAAAAUACCUUUUUUUGGCUGUUUUGUAUCCUAUUAUGGGCUUCUGUUUGCUCAAUACUUCACCUUUAUUCAACUUGCUCAUAAUAUGCUCAAACCUUUGUCUCAGAUUUUUCACUUCAUAUUUUUACUGUUGGUCCUCUUCCUCUCCAGUCAUUCCUCUCUUUUCUGGCAUGGUGUCAUAUUGAACUUCACAUGUGGAAGUUAAAGAACCUUGAAAUCUGCUCUUGUACAAAUUUUUGAUGGGAAUAGGGCUAAAGAUAUAAAUUACACAAGAAAGAAGAAGAGACUUGAGAAAGAAAGAGAGUAGGCAAGAAAAAAAAAGUAGAUUUGGAAUAUGGCAGUGGAAUUUCUUUUCGUUCUUUGUGAAACUCCCACAAGGGCAUUUAUAGAUGGACGAGUCAUUAUGAUUCUAGUUAUAAAUUUAUGAUAAGGCAUGGAUAGGAAUGAUUGGUUUGAAAACUAUAUUGAUGUAUGAUUUGCAAGCACAUGUAUUUAGGUCAAGUGAUUAUGCAAGGCAUUUUGUUUGAAACCAUAUGCUUGCCUCCGUAGAUUAUCGUUUUUAUGUUUUUAAUGGUCAUAUGCUCUUCACUUGGUUUCUUGGUUGAAGAUAACUGUUAUUUUUCGGUCACUAAAUGCCUUCUACCAGUAAAUAAAAUCCAUGGCAAUGAAGAAAAUGUUUUUUUUUCCAACAGGCAAACUGUUUACAUGGUGACAAAACAUGUAAGCAAUAAUGGGAUAUCCUCAUAUCCCUGAAUUUCUUGCUUGUGUGCUUGCAUGCCAUGAAAAGAAUAUGUCUAACCUCCAUGGAUGUGUUAGAUCAUGUUAAGGCUUGUCUGUAAUUCAUUGGUGCAUGAAUUCUUCCUUUAGACUCCAUGAUGGUUCUUCAAACCAUGCACAUUCAACAUUUAGUGGACUUCUAGAAAUAGUUAGUAAAAAGCUAUGAUUCCGAUUUCCCAUGUUCAUACUCUCGAGCACUAUGUAUGUAUGUAUGGAGCCAGAUUAGAAUCAGGUCGAUCAGAUUUGGACUCAGAUUCGGUUAGGUCAAAACUCAAUAAUGGAGGUCCUACAUCAAUGAUUCAAGCCGUUGAAUGUGAUCUACGAUCUCAAAAUUGGUUACACACAAAAAAUCAUAUGAUUUGAAGACUCUUA